RNAcentral lists this long non-coding RNA (371 nucleotides) under Homo sapiens (human). RNAcentral's name for it is "HSALNT0098899". The record is from RNAcentral. Lineage: Eukaryota; Metazoa; Chordata; Mammalia; Primates; Hominidae.
CGGAUUGAUGCCAGCCAGUUCCGGGAACUCUUUGCCAGCCUGACACCCUGGGCCUGUGGCUCCCACACACCUCUGCUGGCAGGGCGCAUGUUCAGGCUCCUGGACGAAAACAAGGACUCGCUGAUCAACUUCAAGGAGUUCGUGACAGGGAUGAGAGGGAGUUGGGCAGCACAGGCUGUGAAGAGGGUCCUACUCGGACCCCCUGGAAGGGGCUCUGCAGCCAUGUUGCCAGACCCAGCCCUCCCUGGCCUUCUCCACAGGCGGGAUGUACCACGGGGACCUGACAGAGAAGCUCAAGGUGCUCUACAAGCUACACCUUCCCCCAGCUCUGAGCCCAGAGGAAGCCGAGUCAGCCCUGGAGGCGGCCCAUU